GACGAACGCUGGCGGCGUGCUUAACACAUGCAAGUCGAACGGAAAGGCCCUGCUUUUGUGGGGUGCUCGAGUGGCGAACGGGUGAGUAACACGUGAGUAACAUGCCCUUGACUUUGGGAUAACUUCAGGAAACUGGGGCUAAUACAGGAUAGGAGCUCCUGCUGCAUGGUGGGGGUUGGAAAGAUUCGGCGGUUGGGGAUGGACUCGCGGCUUAUCAGCUUGUUGGGGGGGUAGUGGCUUACCAAGGCUUUGACGGGUAGCCGGCCUGAGGGGGUGGCCGGCCACAUUGGGCCUGAGAUACGGCCCAGACUCCUACGGGAGGCAGCAGUGGGGAAUAGUGCACAAUGGGCGGAAGCCUGAUGCAGCAACGCCGCGUGCGGGAUGACGGCCUUCUGGUUGUAAACCACUUUCGCCUGUGACGAAGCGUUAGUGACGGUAAUUGGUAAAGAAGCACCGGCUAACUACGUG
RNAcentral lists this ribosomal RNA (468 nucleotides) under uncultured bacterium. Its description in RNAcentral is "partial 16S ribosomal RNA". It matches the Rfam family "Bacterial small subunit ribosomal RNA", at positions 28 to 507 of the family's 1533-position model. The record is from RNAcentral.